AUGAAACCAGAUAGACAAGAGGUCCUAAUGACUGUUCAGAAUAGACGUGAAAUUUAUACUGAGGACCAUGGACAGAGAACAUGGCGGGCCCACUCAUGAGCCCCAAAUCAGAAGUGGCAAGAACCAAGCCCGAAGUGUUGGCAUUUCUGGAAGGCCAGACAGUGUCCAGAUAGAACACUGGGAAAAUUCUUGUGGCAUUCAAUGGAUUAGAAGAAUGUUGUCUGCAUGUAUGAUUUUCUUCUUCCACUUAUAGGUCACAAUUUGAACAGGGCAUAGCUGGAAUUGCUGAUCUAUGCUCUACAAUGAUCGGGGCCUUAGGUGGAGUGGCUCUCAUGUCUGAAGUUGGCUGAGAUGGCUGGACUGGGGCCUUGGUGUGAGCUGUUGGUUGGGUUCACUUCCUUAGUUCAUCUCUAUAACAUGUCUGCUGGGCUGGAAUGUCCAUGAUGCCUUCUUCACUCACCUGUCUGCAACUUGGACUGGGAUGGCUGGAAUAGCAUUUCUUGGUUGCUUGGGAGUAAACAAGAAGAAAACAGAAAGUAGAAGUUGGUUGCAGAAGGAACUGAAGAAAGGGAUUUGGGAAAAAGCAGAAGGUCCAGAAUACUGAAGGUCCCAGUGAAGCUGAAAAGCUGUCACGGUGGAAGUGGCUGAAAAAGCAAGCUGGAAGACAAGGAGCUUAUGAACGAGGAUUUUGAAAGUGAAAAAAUUACAGAUGAUGACAAGAUCCAAGAUGUGGCUCUGGAAGAAUAUGACUGAUAUGGCAUGGGGUGACAAUGGCCUCAUUGUGAUUUCACACCCAAGGAGGAGAAAGAGGGCUGAUGAGGAUGGUCAGCUUCAGUGCACUCAUGACCAAAUGCUGGGAGGUAGAAAUUACAGUGAAGGAAGGUGUUUAAUCUCUAAGCUCGUGUUGGGGCUGGGCUUUUGAUCUCUUUGGAAUUUCUGUAAGGUUUAAUCAUUUAUGUAACAAGUAUUUAUUGAGUAUUUGCUAGGAGCUAGGCACUGUUCUAAAUACUAUAGAUGUCAUAUUGAACAAAACAAACAGUGUUUGCAUUCUUGUGGAUUCAUUACUCUCAAGUCCUGAUUUCUGUGUGAUGUUCUUCAGAAAGGAUCAUAGACCUGCCCUCCCCAACCCUCUUAACAAAGUCAGAAAGAGACACUUUGAAUGAGAAAAUUAGAUCAGCUCUACUCUAGCCUUUGAAGGAAAACUUCCAUUCCUAUCUUUUUAUUAGUAUGAAAUUUUGAGUUUAGUUUUAUUCAUCAUUGGAGUGAACAAAAUUAGUUUGUGGGAAAAAAAGAAAAGAAAGUCACUUGACCAGCUUUGAAAAAGGCUGUGAUUGUCUAUGUAGUCAAAGGCAAAAGAACUCUUUUAUCCUAUGUUACUGAGAGUCACCUGAAGAUGUGGGACAGGGAUUUGUAUAAAACAUAAGGCCUGGAAAUAGCAAAAGAUAGCAAUUGAAGAUUAGAGACUACGUGAGUUCUGAGAAUGUAGAACUAAGAGCAUUGCCUACCAUUGAAAGGGUACCAUAAAAGGAGAAAAGUCAAGAAGUUUAUCAUUAUUGUUCGUAUCCACCCAUCAUUAAGCUUUUCUAACUCUUAAUGAAUAUCAAAAGAUAAAAUGAUAAUAUAUAUGUACUCAUAAUAAAUAUUUUGAUUUACUUUUCAGUAGCGUAUAGUGCACAGGAAAGUCAGGUGUAUAGCAUCUCGUGACCUGGGUUUGCUGCCUGGUUGUGCCAUUGUUCUGUUAUUUUCUUUAGUGUUUCUAUCUGUAUAGUAAUUUCUAUUCCGACUUUGUAUUUCCCUAAAAGCUGCUCCUGAUGUGCUGUUGGUAAAAGCUGUUCACCUCACUGAUCAGGGCAGCAGACCAGUUAUGUAAAAUAAAGGAAAAGCUUCUCUCAUUCUUUUGAUAAAUGUGGAUUAGGCUUUGGCAUUAAGUCUGGGCCCUGAGACGUAAUGAGCAGCCCAACGAUUUCUUUUGAAUUUGGAUGAAUAGAAGACUACUCUCUACCUUUGAAAUCUGGCUACAGAAUCAUACUACACUCCAAAACAUUCAUAUUUCUCUAAAACUUCUUGGAACUCUUUGCCCAAAGCCUACUCUUUACUUUCCUGGAUCAUUCCUGUAACUUUGAUCCUUUUAUGUUUGGAUUGUCAUUAUCAGUGAGAGGCAUUGGUACUAAUGUGAAAAGUGAAAAUGAGAUCAGCACCAUACAGGUAGAACUGGAAUAUUAUGAUAAAUUACAAGAGAGAAGAAGCCAGUUUAAGAAAACAGACUUUCCGAGCUUAUAACUCACUCCAACCUUAUGAGAUAAUAAAUUUAGGAGUGUUCUUCGACCUUCUUUUGCAUUUGUGUAAGCUGAUGAUAAACGGCAAUUUUUCUGUUUCAAAGGAAAAGGACCACAAAGCAUCUUUGGCCACCAAAGAGCCCGGCUCUUACAAAAUAUUUUGAUGAGCUAAGUGUAAAUGAAUCAGAAAACAUACAGAUUGAAUUUCUACCCUUAUACUCAUGGGAGGCCUUUUUUCUUUUUUUAAUGAGAAAAAGAAUGCAGUUGACAAACAGGGUUUAGGUUUUUCUGAAUCAAAUAUUUAGAAAUCAGUUCAGGAGAUUUUCCUGAAUCUGAAUGAACAAAAGGUCAUUUUCCCUUUCCUGAUUUUAUCAUUCAUUUUGACUUUCUUGGCCUCUAUUUGUCCAGGUGCCCAAAAGAGAAAAUAAAUAAACUCGAGCAAGCUGAUUUUAAAGAUGAGAAGAGGAAUUAAAUCUGUCAUGGCAACGUUGCACAGCUGGAAACCGGCAGAGGAGGAGUUUUCAACGAAGGCCACUAACUGCAAAGCCCAGUUCUUGACCACUCUGCUCUGCUGUCUCUUCUUAUCAGGUUUCUGACAGGAAAUCAAUCACUUGAGAUGAAAAUGAAUGAGUGAUAAAAAAGAAAGUUGUUUCUCGAGGAAAAUGAAGACAUCAGCUUCCUCCAUAUCUGCCCCCUUCCAGAGUUGCCGGUGCCGCCUGACUCUGAGAUUUGUAAGAGGAAAUGACCUCAGUUUGCUACAGGGCUUACGCAGAGGCUCCACUAACUGCUGCCCAGUGGUAUGGAUUGUGAACUCUCCUUCUUCCCCUCUCAUGCCAGCUCCCAAAAAUAACCCAGUGGGAACAACCCAGCAGCCUCUCCCUCAAGACCUGCAAAUCAAAGCCCUGAUUAGGUCAAAGGAUGGGAAAUGCGGCUGCAGAGCUACUCAGGGGCGCUCUAAUGCCAAGGGCGUAGAAGACUUCCUGUUCCCUCGGAGGCUGGCUCAGAGCCACAAGGCAGACUUCACUCAGGAGACCUCGGCCCAUCUCUUUGGCUCCUUGAACCUGAUGGGAUUCCAGAAGUCCAGAGAUGAACACUGUCCAACCUACACUUGCCGGACCUCUGACGGAGGAAAGCCCGAUCUUGCUGGGGAUGCCUCACUCCCUGGGAAAGUUAUUCCCUCUGGCCCUUCCUUAUGUUAAAUGAGGCCAGUGAGAAAUGUUUUUCCUUCUUCAUUUCUGAUGGGGACAGUGAGAGCAGCAACUAGUAUCACUGUGAUGUCACCUUACAGUUUGAAUGAAAAGAAUAGGAAAUAGUCCCUGCCCCAUAACUAAGAUAGGCGUUUCUGGUAGGCAUUGAGGGGAAGUGAUAGAGCAAAUGGGGAGGGUUGGUGGGUAGAAACGAGCAUAGCAAGUGCUCUGCAACAGAGAACAGCAAACUGCCAAACUACAGACAGCUCCUUGGUCCAAUCUGGCCUCUCACCUGUUUGUAAAUACAAU
RNAcentral lists this long non-coding RNA (3772 nucleotides) under Equus asinus (donkey). Its description in RNAcentral is "lncRNA (ENSEASG00005037527.1)". Lineage: Eukaryota; Metazoa; Chordata; Mammalia; Perissodactyla; Equidae. The record is from RNAcentral.